This 440-nucleotide ribosomal RNA is filed under the name uncultured bacterium. RNAcentral describes it as "bacterial SSU rRNA". It matches the Rfam family "Bacterial small subunit ribosomal RNA", at positions 959 to 1397 of the family's 1533-position model. The record is from RNAcentral.
ACGCGCGGAACCUUACCAGGUCUUGACAUCCCAUUGACCGCUAUGGAGACAUAGCUUUCCCUUUUAGGGACAGUGGUGACAGGUGGUGCAUGGUUGUCGUCAGCUCGUGUCGUGAGAUGUUGGGUUAAGUCCCGCAACGAGCGCAACCCUUGAUCUUAGUUGCCAGCAUUAAGUUGGGCACUCUAAGGUGACUGCCGGUGACAAACCGGAGGAAGGUGGGGAUGACGUCAAAUCAUCAUGCCCCUUAUGACCUGGGCUACACACGUGCUACAAUGGAUGGUACAAAGGGCAGCAAAACCGCGAGGUCGAGCAAAUCCCAUAAAACCAUUCUCAGUUCGGAUUGUAGGCUGCAACUCGCCUACAUGAAGCUGGAAUCGCUAGUAAUCGCGGAUCAGCAUGCCGCGGUGAAUACGUUCCCGGGCCUUGCACACACCGCCCGU